GUGGGGAAUCUUGCGCAAUGGGCGAAAGCCUGACGCAGCCAUGCCGCGUGAAUGAUGAAGGUCUUAGGAUUGUAAAAUUCUUUCACCGGGGACGAUAAUGACGGUACCCGGAGAAGAAGCUCCGGCUAACUUCGUGCCAGCAGCCGCGGUAAUACGAAGGGGGCUAGCGUUGCUCGGAAUUACUGGGCGUAAAGGGCGCGUAGGCGGACAGCUUAGUCAGAGGUGAAAGCCCAGGGCUCAACCUUGGAAUUGCCUUUGAUACUGGCUGUCUUGAGUUUGGGAGAGGUGAGUGGAACUCCGAGUGUAGAGGUGAAAUUCGUAGAUAUUCGGAAGAACACCAGUGGCGAAGGCAAUCCCCUGGGCCUGCACUGACGCUCAUGCACGAAAGCGUGGGGAGCAAACAGGAUUAGAUACCCGUGUAGUCC
This 425-nucleotide ribosomal RNA is filed under the name uncultured bacterium. RNAcentral's name for it is "partial 16S ribosomal RNA". It matches the Rfam family "Bacterial small subunit ribosomal RNA", at positions 354 to 796 of the family's 1533-position model. The record is from RNAcentral.